UAAAAACCCCGACUUCGGAAGGGGUGUAUUUAUUAGAUACAAAACCGAUGCCCUUCGGGGCUCUUUGGUGAUUCAUGAUAACUAUACGAAUCGCACGGCCUUGCGCCGGCGAUGGUUCAUUCAAAUUUCUUCCCUAUCAACUUUCGAUGUUUGGGUAUUGGCCAAACAUGGUUGCAACGGGUAACGGAGGGUUAGGGCUCGACCCCGGAGAAGGAGCCUGAGAAACGGCUACUACAUCCAAGGAAGGCAGCAGGCGCGCAAAUUACCCAAUCCCGACUCGGGGAGGUAGUGACAAUAAAUACUGAUACAGGGCCCUUUCGGGCCUUGUAAUUGGAAUGAGUACAAUUUAAAUCCCUUAACGAGGAACAAUUGGAGGGCAAGUCUGGUGCCAGCAGCCGCGGUAAUUCCAGCUCCAAUAGCGUAUAUUAAAGUUGUUGUGGUUAAAAAGCUCGUAGUUGAUCCUUGGGCCUGGCUGGCCGGUCCGCCUCACCGCGUGCACUGGUCCGGCCGGGCCUUUCCCUCUGUGGAACCCCAUACCCUUCACUGGGCGUGGCGGGGAAACAGGACAUUUACUUU
This 576-nucleotide ribosomal RNA is filed under the name uncultured eukaryote. RNAcentral describes it as "SSU rRNA". It matches the Rfam family "Eukaryotic small subunit ribosomal RNA", at positions 174 to 758 of the family's 1831-position model. The record is from RNAcentral.